ACCGUUCUCUUCUUCGCCUAACAAACGUUCUCUUCUUCGCCUAGCCCACCACCGUUCUCUUCUUCGCCUAGCCCACCGUUCUCUUCUUCGUACCCAUUCUUUUUUCCUAGCCCACCCAUUCUUCUGCGCCUCUCCCUACUUGAAAUCUUCCUUUAAGCAUCUCUACCAUCCCGACUGCAUUCUGCCCUGGCUCGCUCACCAUAACUCCUGCCCCGUUUGUCAGUUCCGGUUACGAGCAGAGCAAGCCAAGCUGGACUCUUUUGGGUCCCCGAAAGGUGUUUUGUGGUUAAGGGACUUGAUGAUGGGGGAUGAGGACUGGUAGCGGCGGCGUUCAGGGCUCAUUCCCUCUCAACCAGAUUGCAGAGGUGGAGACAGAGACGGAGACGGAAAGAGACUCUUCGUCUAGUGUUUCUUUCGUUCAGGGAUCGAGGCCAUGGAGAUGAUAUGGAAGAAGAUGGAAGAAGAAGAAGAAAAUGAGGAACAACGAAAGAAGGCACGAAGAGUCUCGGAAACAACAGGCUGAGACUGCACAUGAGGGUAAUGAGAGUGAUGAAGGGGAAUACGAAGAAGGGCCUGCUAAAAUUAUCUGGUUAGGAAAUGAGAUCAUUUUCAAGAAGAAAAGGAUCAGGGUCUCGAAGAAAAACAGUCCACUAAAUGACUUAAGUAGAAAAGAGGCUUAGUUUUUUGAUACAAAGCUGAGAUGAGUCACCUUAUUAAGUCAAUAAACCAUGGAUUAAUUGAAAUCUAGGACUUUUGGGGAAUUCGCAUACUAUCAUUACGAGUUUGGGGACUUGUCUUGAGGAUUGAAAAUCGUUCCAUGUUUUUGCCCAUUCAUUUCUGGCAAGUAGAUGGUAUGAAUGAUUCAUGGCAGUUCCUUCUACCUAAUUCGGUAGCUUCUUUUCUUUGGGAAGAUCUUGGUAGAAGACGUUUGUUGGAACUCCUCAUCGAUGGUGAUGACCAGUCUAAAUCUCAGAAGUUUGAUAUUGAUGAAAUUUCUGCCAAUCAACCCAUGCAUGUUACAAGUGGGACUUCUAGAGCUCUAAGCAUUACGAUAAUAAAAGAAGAGAAAGUCAAUGUUGUUAAGAUCAGUGACUGGUUGCCAGAGAGUGAACCUAUUGGAAUAUUGAGUAAAAUAGGCACAUCUCCUCUAUCACAACUUUCUUUAAAGAACCCACCUCAACAACAAUCACCGUCCACCUCAGACUCAGAAUUUCAUGUUAUUGUUGAAUUAGUUGAGCUUGGAGUAUCAAUCAUUGAUCACACACCUGAAGAAAUUUUGUACCUCUCUGUUCAGACUUUUAUUUUUUCAUAUUCAACUGGCUUGGGCUCUGGAAUUAGUAGUUCAAAUUAAGAAUGCAUGAGAUACAAGUGGAUAAUCAUCUGCCAUUAACUCCAAUGCUAGUUCUUUUCAGACCACAGAAAGUGGGGGAUGAGACGGAUUAUAUCUUGAAAUUUUCUGUGACCAUGCAAUCAAACGGGUCACUGGAUCUUUGUGUCUAUCCAUAUAUUGGUUUUUAUGGUCCUGAAAAUGCUGCCUUCCUGAUAAACAUUCAUGAACCUAUUAUAUGGCGCCUUCAUGAAAUGAUCCAGCAGGUCAACUUCAAUCGCUUAUAUGAUAACCAAACCUCUGCCGUUGCUGUUGAUCCAGUUAUCUAAAUAUGAGUUCUUAACAUCUCAGAAGUUCGGUUCAAGGUGUCAAUGGCUAUGUCACCCAGUCAACAACCAAGGGGUGUACUUGGCUUUUGGGCAUCAUUGAUGACUGCACUAGGAAACACUGAAAAUAUGCCAGUUAGAAUAAAUCAAAGGUUUCAUGAGAAUGUGUGCAUGAGGCAGAGUUCAAUGACAAAUAUUGCUAUUUCAAACAUACGGAAGGAUCUCCUUGGCCAACCUCUUCAAUUGCUUUCUGGUGUUGAUAUAUUGGGCAAGCAGUGCACUUGGACAUAUGAGUAAGGGUAUGGCUGCCUUAUCAAUGGAUAAGAAGUUCAUCCAAAGUCGGCAGAGACAGGAAAACAAGGGCAUAGAGGAUCUUGGUGAUGUUAUUAGAGAAGGAGGUGGUGCACUAGCAAAAGGCCUAUUCAGAGGAGUCACUGGAAUAUUAACAAAGCCUCUUGAAGGUGCAAAAACUUCUGGUGUUGAGGAUUUUGUUCAAGGUGUUGGA
Humulus lupulus (European hop) is the source of this 2158-nucleotide RNA transcript. RefSeq lists it as uncharacterized. Lineage: Eukaryota; Viridiplantae; Streptophyta; Magnoliopsida; Rosales; Cannabaceae. The transcript is spliced from 9 exons. The record is from RefSeq and is a predicted model, not a curated record.